GGGGCUCAACCCCCCGAAGCCCCCGGAACCUCCGCGGCUUGGGUCCGGUAGGGGAGGGUGGAACACCCGGUGUAGCGGUGGAAUGCGCAGAUAUCGGGUGGAACACCGGUGGCGAAGGCGGCCCUCUGGGCCGAGACCGACGCUGAGGCGCGAAAGCUGGGGGAGCGAACAGGAUUAGAUACCCUGGUAGUCCCAGCCGUAAACGAUAGACGGUAGGUGUGGGGGGACGAUCCCCCCGUGCCGCAG
RNAcentral lists this ribosomal RNA (246 nucleotides) under uncultured bacterium. RNAcentral describes it as "partial 16S ribosomal RNA". It matches the Rfam family "Bacterial small subunit ribosomal RNA", at positions 604 to 851 of the family's 1533-position model. The record is from RNAcentral.